CCAAGGAGUCUAACAUGGACGCAAGUCUAAGGGUCUUGUCUAGGCUCUCAGGCGUAAUGAAAGUAAUGCAUAUUGUGCGUGCCACGGUGUGUACAGUAAUUGCGAAUAUGAUGCCUAUUGUGGUCAAAUUCUGGCUGCUAUAUGGUACUAUAUAAGCAAUGGCCCGUGAUAUUUGCCGCUGGCAAUUUUGCGGAGUCUUAGCGUCUACGUUGGUACCCGAAAGAUGGUGAACUAUGCUUGGGGCAGAUGAAGCCAGAGGAAACUCUGGUGGAGGUCUGUAGCGAUUCUGACGUGCAAAUCGAUCGUCAGACCCGAGUAUAGGGGCGAAAGACUAAUCGAACCAUC
This 345-nucleotide ribosomal RNA is filed under the name Cheletomimus wellsi. RNAcentral describes it as "eukaryotic LSU rRNA". It matches the Rfam family "Eukaryotic large subunit ribosomal RNA", at positions 666 to 944 of the family's 3401-position model. Lineage: Eukaryota; Metazoa; Arthropoda; Arachnida; Trombidiformes; Cheyletidae. The record is from RNAcentral.